RNAcentral lists this ribosomal RNA (494 nucleotides) under uncultured bacterium. RNAcentral describes it as "bacterial SSU rRNA". It matches the Rfam family "Bacterial small subunit ribosomal RNA", at positions 903 to 1397 of the family's 1533-position model. The record is from RNAcentral.
AAAUGAAUAGACGGGGGCCCGCACAAGCGGUGGAGCAUGUGGCUUAAUUCGAUGCAACGCGAAGAACCUUACCUGGGUUUGACAUGCAGUGGACAGCCUCUGAAAGGGGGCCUUCCUUCGGGACCGCUGCACAGGUGCUGCAUGGCUGUCGUCAGCUCGUGUCGUGAGAUGUUCGGUUAAGUCCGGCAACGAGCGCAACCCCUGUCCUUAGUUGCCAGCGAGUAAUGUCGGGGACUCUAAGGAGACAAGCUUCUUGUAGAAGCGGGAAGGUGGGGAUGACGUCAAGUCCGUAUGGCCCUUACAUCCAGGGCUGCACACGUGCUACAAUGCCCAGUACAGUGAGAUGCAAUACCGUGAGGUGGAGCAAACCUCUAAAGCUGGGCCCAGUUCGGAUUGGAGUCUGCAACUCGACUCCAUGAAGUCGGAAUCGCUAGUAACGGCGUAUCAGCAACGACGCCGUGAAUACGUUCCCGGGCCUUGUACACACCGCCCGU